RNAcentral lists this ribosomal RNA (267 nucleotides) under uncultured bacterium. RNAcentral's name for it is "partial 16S ribosomal RNA". It matches the Rfam family "Bacterial small subunit ribosomal RNA", at positions 91 to 354 of the family's 1533-position model. The record is from RNAcentral.
CGGACCGGCGCACGGGUGAGUAACGCGUAUGCAACCUGCCCGUUUCAGCGGGAUAACCCGGAGAAAUCCGGCCUAAUACCGCAUGUGGCCGAGGGGAGGCAUCUUCUUUCGGCCAAAGGAGGCAACUCCGGAGACGGAUGGGCAUGCGUGACAUUAGCUUGUUGGCGGGGUAACGGCCCACCAAGGCGACGAUGUCUAGGGGUUCUGAGAGGAAGGUCCCCCACACUGGUACUGAGACACGGACCAGACUCCUACGGAAGGCAGCAG